CCAGAUGCAUCAGUAUUUGCCAUUAAACCUCGAAAUUGGUUAUGUUGAGCAACCAUUUCAAUGCAGUUAUCAUGUGAACAACUCAACCACUUCAAAAGAUGAAUCUUGAAGAAAGCUUACUUCUUUUACAUCUAUGGAUACAUUUUAUAUUUGAUCAAUGCAGAUGAUAACCAACAGUAAUGGAUGGGAGAAGCUUGUCGACACUAAUUCUGACAUAGAUCAGGAGGGUAAACAGGCGUGUAGGAUGUCUCCUUCAAUGGGGACAGUUCAUGGCAACUUCUUUUCAACUUCCCUUAUCUGCACCGAAGAAAUUAUUGUGACACACAUUUCUACCACACAAAUAAAUUUCGUAAUGCCUUUUUGAUUUUGUUAUCUUGAUAUUCUUCACUUGGGAUCUUAUAUUUUCUUUUAUGCAAAUGUCAUACGUUAAGGAGGUAUGUAAAGUCUGUAAUUUUUUUUUAAAUGGAAGUGGUAUGACUUAGGCCUAGAGAUUGAACUGGAA
Non-coding RNA from Carica papaya (papaya), 502 nucleotides. The record is from RefSeq and is a predicted model, not a curated record. Lineage: Eukaryota; Viridiplantae; Streptophyta; Magnoliopsida; Brassicales; Caricaceae.